Molecule: long non-coding RNA, 925 nt
Organism: Zingiber officinale
Lineage: Eukaryota; Viridiplantae; Streptophyta; Magnoliopsida; Zingiberales; Zingiberaceae
Exons: 3
Source: RefSeq, a predicted model, not a curated record
CCCGACCCCCUCCUUCCUCAUUCUCCCGAUCCUCUCCUUCGGUCUCCCUCUUCUCCUCUCUUUGUUCCUCAUAAACCAUCGACAGUGAUGGAAAUCUCCAUCUGGGGUCAUCCACAUCGCAUCGCCGGUGGGCCAGGUCACCGGAGCUCGACGGGAAACGGCAGAGUCCAGUGCUUCUCCGGUGUAUCCUGUGCCCGAUCGAUGAAGGCGUGGAGGCUAGGGUUUGGAGGGGGGCUGGAGGUGCGUCGUUCCCAGCUGAUCUGUGCCCUUCUCUUCUUGAGUUUCCUUCUUCUCAGUCGUCUUCGGUAAGUGGCCGAAUCGCAUCUCCUUCCACCAUCGACAACCGAAGCUUGGAGAGAUGCCCUAGCUCGGAUUUGUGCCGCUCGAUCGCCGGCGUGAAGAGGCAAUUAGGGCUCCGAAGAUCACCCGAGAUGACCGAGAUAGGUCUUCUUCAUUAGGCAUUUGUAUUCCUCUCCCAGUGCCAGAUCUUGGCGGAUGCUGGCUGAUUGGGGGUUGCGGUUGAAGAAAUUGAGAUCAGUGAUCUCUUGCUUGAUCUCACCUUGAUUCGAACAGAGGAGUGGAUUUUCCAACAAGUUGUUUGCUGUGGAUUGUAAUCACGGGACUGGAGAAGAAGUGCAGGGAAGAAGUUCAUCAUGGUUAGGUUCUGUGAUUCCAGGUGAGCUUUGGUGAUCAGUGAAGUGAGGGUCUGUUGCUGUGAGGCUGGAAUUGUGAUCAUUGCGGUGAAAUUGAGGGCUGUGGAUCAAUAGGUGUGGCUAUGAGGUUUCUUGUUCUUGAUUCCAGCAAUUUCUUGGUCUCGGCAGCAACAUUCCUCUUGUCCCAAUAGCCACAGUAGCUGUGGAAUUGAGGACUCUGAUUAGAGACGGGCGUCUCGACUUCGGAUUUGGAUUGUACCUUCUAUUUGAGG